Molecule: unclassified non-coding RNA, 215 nt
Filed under: Hevea brasiliensis (rubber tree)
Lineage: Eukaryota; Viridiplantae; Streptophyta; Magnoliopsida; Malpighiales; Euphorbiaceae
Source: RNAcentral
UUAUAAACCAAGAACUUAAUAGCCAUUCUCAUCACAGAUAAAGGAGCACAAACCAAAUACUACAAAAUUACAGGCCAGUGGCACAAAAAUAAGCUGUCCAAACAAUCUCAUGUGCUUAUAGUUUAAAAACUAGGAUAUUUAUAUGCAUCAGCAGGUCUUCAACCACAUACCUGUCAACUGGACUUAAUAGGUGAGCUGAGUUUAAUCCAUCUCUA